GAACGGCUUCUUUUUGCCGCCGGCCCUAAGCUGUCGGCUAUAGGUGCGUCCUGCUGGCGGGGAUGAAACGUUUGCCGCCGAUUACGUCACUCCAAUUUCUUGCGAGAUUUCUUGACUGCUUCAUUUUCUCUGGCGGUUGCCUGGGUCUAAAGCACCGCGGUCGUCCGGCAGCAAGACGUUUUUAAAUACAAGGCUACUCUCAAAAUCGACCGGCCAUGUUGGUUUGGACACACAUUCGCAUCAGUUCGUUGCUCAAUCGCGAGUUACAGCCUGCAGUUUGCUAGCUAGCAAAGUCAUCGACUACCAUCGUUUAAAUACCUUGGCCAGAGCAUAACCGGUUAUCUUCACCCAAGAGACCUACUGUUGGUCAAUCGUUUUGGUUUUAAAGAAGUUGCAUCGAUUCCAGAAAACCAGAAAAAUGAUGAGCCAUCUGUAGACUUCAGAGCUGAACCAGUUUUCUCCCUAGAGUUUGAGUACAACUCGUCAAGUACUAAGCUUUACACCACCAGCAGCAAAUUUACCCUGGCAGCAUAUGGGUGAAAACUCUGGAGGAGAAAGUCAUCGCUUUGUUAUUGGCCCUUGGACGCCCCUGGCAUCUCGUGUACAGCACAAAGUUUUCAGCUAUGAAGAUUUCCAGUGACUCCAGAAUGAAAACCAAGCUCUGAGGGAGGAGAACCAAGCCCUGAGGGAAUGCAAUGCACAAGCAGGUGAGAAUGUGCACUCUCUUAAAUUUUAGUUCAGAAUUACCAUAUGCCUUUGAUUUUGUAGCUUCGGGUUGACAGCGGCUCACUUCAAGAACAGGUGAAGCAAGUAGGGACAAUGUUGAAGACGUUUGCUCUCACUGGGCAAUCAGGUGCGUUACCUGAAAGGAGCAUCUGAUCGUGAAGGCAGAAAAAGCCGCACAGCUGAGAAGGACCCACGGCCGACCCCUUAAACAUAGGCUGACUACUGACACCCCACCAUCACUGAACUGGAACACUUUCUUUAUCCUGCAUUCAGUAACAUCAAGAAGCUAGAAGUGCCAGACUACACUCACCAAAUCCACCCUGUUUUUUUUUUUGUAUUUUAACUUUAGUAUUGG
Molecule: long non-coding RNA, 1081 nt
Organism: Esox lucius (northern pike)
Lineage: Eukaryota; Metazoa; Chordata; Actinopteri; Esociformes; Esocidae
Source: Ensembl